UACGUAGGGUGCAAGCGUUGUCCGGAAUUAUUGGGCGUAAAGAGCUCGUAGGCGGUUUGUCGCGUCUGCUGUGAAAACCGGAGGCUCAACCCCCGGCCUGCAGUGGGUACGGGCAGACUAGAGUGCGGUAGGGGAGAUUGGAAUUCCUGGUGUAGCGGUGAAAUGCGCAGAUAUCAGGAGGAACACCGGUGGCGAAGGCGGCGAUCUGGACGAUGACUGACACUGAGACGCGAAAGCGUGGGGAGCGAACAGG
Molecule: ribosomal RNA, 253 nt
Filed under: uncultured bacterium
Lineage: Bacteria
Description: partial 16S ribosomal RNA
Rfam family: Bacterial small subunit ribosomal RNA
Source: RNAcentral